Molecule: ribosomal RNA, 207 nt
Filed under: uncultured bacterium
Lineage: Bacteria
Description: partial 16S ribosomal RNA
Rfam family: Bacterial small subunit ribosomal RNA
Source: RNAcentral
CACGUAGGCUGACUGGUCAGUUGGGGGUGAAAUCCCGGGGCUCAACCUCGGAACUGCCUUCAAUACUGCCAGUCUUGAGUCCGAGAGAGGUGAGUGGAAUUCCUAGUGUAGAGGUGAAAUUCGUAGAUAUUAGGAAGAACACCAGUGGCGAAGGCGGCUCACUGGCUCGGUACUGACGCUGAGGUGCGAAAGCGUGGGGAGCAAACA